GGGCUGCAGCUCAGUGACAGAGCAUCUGCUUUGCAUGCAGAAGUUUCAGAGGUUCAAUACCCAGUAGCAUCU
This is a non-coding RNA of Podarcis lilfordi (Lilford's wall lizard), 72 nucleotides long. The record is from the annotation of a GenBank genome assembly. Lineage: Eukaryota; Metazoa; Chordata; Lepidosauria; Squamata; Lacertidae.